RNAcentral lists this non-coding RNA (66 nucleotides) under Sarcina ventriculi. RNAcentral describes it as "Clostridium ventriculi Fluoride sequence". It matches the Rfam family "Fluoride riboswitch aptamer (crcB RNA motif)". The record is from Rfam by way of RNAcentral. Lineage: Bacteria; Bacillati; Bacillota; Clostridia; Eubacteriales; Clostridiaceae.
AAUUUAAUGGGUUAUGGAGUUAACCCUAAACCGCUUUAUUUUAAAGCUAAUGACUCCUACACAAAA